Long non-coding RNA from Astyanax mexicanus (Mexican tetra), 328 nucleotides. RefSeq lists it as uncharacterized. The record is from RefSeq and is a predicted model, not a curated record. NCBI's taxonomy places the organism in Eukaryota, Metazoa, Chordata, Actinopteri, Characiformes, Acestrorhamphidae. The transcript has 3 exons.
GUAGUACAGAGUGAAGGUGGUGGUGGGCUGUAGGUUGUAUGAAUGAAGGCUGGGUGUGUGUGAGGUUGUAGUACAGAGUGAAGGUGGUGGUGGGCUGUAGGUUGUAUGAAUGAAGGCUGGGUGUGUGUGAGGUUGUAGUACAGAGUGAAGGUGGUGGUGGGCUGUAGGUUGUAUGAAUGAAGGCUGGGUGUGUGUGUGUGUGAGGUUGUAGUACAGAGUGAAGGUGGUGGUGAGUUGUAGGUUGUAUGAAUGAAGGCUGGGUGUGUGUGAGGUUGUAGUACAGAGUGAAGGUGGUGGUGAGUUGUAGGUUGUAUGAAUGAAGGCUGGG